AUGCUGUUACUGCUAUUAUUAGGAUGUUCUGUGCUUUGGUGUUCUCGGAAGGCAAUCCCAACAGAAGUCAGAACUGCUUUCUGUAGUUAGCCACAAUAAGCUUGGACCUAAACCAACCACCCAACAAAUGGUAUUUGCCUUGAUAAGCUGCCCCUAGGACGGACCACAACAUAAGAGACACGUGCACCUAUUUAGAAUAAGACUUCCAUUUUGAGUAGUGGUUAAGUAAAGUUUAAGUCCCCAAGACCUUCCUGGGAACUUCCUGGGACAUAUGUAUGUGGGUAACUGAAAUCCUUGUUGACAGUUAAGAAAUAAAUGUAGCAAGCCUCCUGCCAUAGUUGAAUACCCCGACCAAUGGGGAGCAGGAUAAGUGUACAACAAGGACAAGUUCCUAAGGAAAUCUCCUACCCCUAAAUCUUGAUUGGUGGAAUAACUUGGCACAGAUGUUUGUGGAUUUUAGGCUUAACAGGAUUUUAACUCAUCACAGCUCAGCUCCAGAAUCUGGACCAUGGCCCUGAUUGGUCAGUCCUGGCGCAAAUGCUCAUCAAAUUGCCCCUGUCUGACUGAGACCAGAGUUCAUGUGGUUUGUGAGGCGACUCCUGGACCCCAACAUUGUUAUAAAAACAAUCUCUUUUUUAAAGCUGAUUAUAGGCCAGGUGUAGUGGUGCAUGCCUAUAAUCCCUGAAUUCAGGAGGCAGAGCCAAAUCUUGGAUCACACUGUGACCCCUGAAAUUGAUUUAUUUACUAAAGAGAGAAAAAAAAAAAAAAACCUGUUUCUAGUUAUGGUGUGGCUCAACCCUAGCACAUACCUUUAAUCCAAGAGCUUUUGGUUUAUUGUAAACAAGAUUAAAUAAAGUCAACCCUCUGUCAAACAACCAGUUGACAGAGAGUGAACGU
RNAcentral lists this long non-coding RNA (897 nucleotides) under Mus musculus (house mouse). RNAcentral describes it as "long non-coding RNA chr13:54511245-54512142". Lineage: Eukaryota; Metazoa; Chordata; Mammalia; Rodentia; Muridae. The record is from RNAcentral.